UACGUAGGGUGCGAGCGUUAAUCGGAAUUACUGGGCGUAAAGCGUGCGCAGGCGGUUCGUGAUGUCUGGUGUGAAAGCCCCGGGCUUAACCUGGGAAUUGCAUUGGAAACUAGCGGGCUGGAGUGUGGCAGAGGGGGGUGGAAUUCCACGUGUAGCAGUGAAAUGCGUAGAGAUGUGGAGGAACACCGAUGGCGAAGGCAGCCCCCUGGGCUAACACUGACGCUCAUGCACGAAAGCGUGGGGAGCAAAAGGG
RNAcentral lists this ribosomal RNA (253 nucleotides) under uncultured bacterium. RNAcentral describes it as "partial 16S ribosomal RNA". It matches the Rfam family "Bacterial small subunit ribosomal RNA", at positions 524 to 776 of the family's 1533-position model. The record is from RNAcentral.